GAAUAUUUUCUACGCCGGCCCUGACGGACGACUAAAAGAAAUGGAUGUUCUGACAAACAGCAUAGAUGCCCGAAUAUGGAUAAUGAAGUAUUUAAUGAGUCAGUCGAUUAUAGUAUUUCGUGAUAGAAAGACAUGUGUACCUAGAUAUUAGAAUAAAUGUAUUAAAUUCUGAAUUUGCCUUUAAAUAUUUAACAAAGCAGCGGUAGGAUAUUAUCCAUGUGCUAUAGCAAGUGUUAAGUUAUAUUUAUACUUAUUUAAUAGUGAUAUUUGUUUAAAAACACAAUAAUAGUAUAAUCGUAUGUGAAUGUUUCGAAAGUGACAAAAAUAGCAAUGGAAUUUUCCUGCAAGAGGUGAACUUGUGAAGUGUUGUUACGUUAAAGUGUUCUACGUGGAAUUUUAUCCGGAAUUUGCACUAAAUGCGACGUGUAAAUAAUAUUUAAAGUACGGUGAAUCACCUGGGUGUUUUUAUGAGUUGUUUUUGGAUCAAUUUGUGCUGUUUCUUUGCCAAUGAUGUACAUUGUACCACAUAUUUUUUAUGACAGGAUGUCUGUUGGAACUUCGAACUUGUGUCUGAUGGGGUUAAGAGGAUUGAACUGUAAAUCAGUGGCAUCGGAUCCACGCGGACGUGGAUAAGGGAAGCGUGGCCGACUGUAAAGAAUAUUUUCUACGCCGGCCCUGACGGACGACUAAAAGAAAUGGAUGUUCUGACAAACAGCAUAGAUGCCCGAAUAUGGAUAAUGAAGUAUUUAAUGAGUCAGUCGAUUAUAGUAUUUCGUGAUAGAAAGACAUGUGUACCUAGAUAUUAGAAUAAAUGUAUUAAAUUCUGAA
Molecule: long non-coding RNA, 828 nt
Filed under: Diabrotica virgifera virgifera (western corn rootworm)
Lineage: Eukaryota; Metazoa; Arthropoda; Insecta; Coleoptera; Chrysomelidae
Description: uncharacterized LOC126889900
Source: RNAcentral